ACUCCUACGGGAGGCAGCAGUGGGGAAUAUUGCACAAUGGGCGAAAGCCUGAUGCAGCGACGCCGCGUGGGGAUGAAGGCCUUCGGGUUGUAAACCCCUUUCAGCAGGGAAGAAGCGAAAGUGACGGUACCUGCAGAAGAAGCGCCGGCUAACUACGUGCCAGCAGCCGCGGUAAUACGUAGGGCGCAAGCGUUGUCCGGAAUUAUUGGGCGUAAAGAGCUCGUAGGCGGUUUGUCGCGUCUGCUGUGAAAUCCCGAGGCUCAACCUCGGGCUUGCAGUGGGUACGGGCAGACUAGAGUGUGGUAGGGGAGACUGGAAUUCCUGGUGUAGCGGUGGAAUGCGCAGAUAUCAGGAGGAACACCAAUGGCGAAGGCAGGUCUCUGGGCCACAACUGACGCUGAGGAGCGAAAGCGUGGGGAGCAAACAGGAUUAGAUACCCUGGUAGCGAG
RNAcentral lists this ribosomal RNA (449 nucleotides) under uncultured bacterium. RNAcentral describes it as "bacterial SSU rRNA". It matches the Rfam family "Bacterial small subunit ribosomal RNA", at positions 335 to 797 of the family's 1533-position model. The record is from RNAcentral.